This 2904-nucleotide ribosomal RNA is filed under the name Escherichia coli. RNAcentral's name for it is "23S ribosomal RNA". It matches the Rfam family "Bacterial large subunit ribosomal RNA". Lineage: Bacteria; Pseudomonadati; Pseudomonadota; Gammaproteobacteria; Enterobacterales; Enterobacteriaceae. The record is from RNAcentral.
GGUUAAGCGACUAAGCGUACACGGUGGAUGCCCUGGCAGUCAGAGGCGAUGAAGGACGUGCUAAUCUGCGAUAAGCGUCGGUAAGGUGAUAUGAACCGUUAUAACCGGCGAUUUCCGAAUGGGGAAACCCAGUGUGUUUCGACACACUAUCAUUAACUGAAUCCAUAGGUUAAUGAGGCGAACCGGGGGAACUGAAACAUCUAAGUACCCCGAGGAAAAGAAAUCAACCGAGAUUCCCCCAGUAGCGGCGAGCGAACGGGGAGCAGCCCAGAGCCUGAAUCAGUGUGUGUGUUAGUGGAAGCGUCUGGAAAGGCGCGCGAUACAGGGUGACAGCCCCGUACACAAAAAUGCACAUACUGUGAGCUCGAUGAGUAGGGCGGGACACGUGGUAUCCUGUCUGAAUAUGGGGGGACCAUCCUCCAAGGCUAAAUACUCCUGACUGACCGAUAGUGAACCAGUACCGUGAGGGAAAGGCGAAAAGAACCCCGGCGAGGGGAGUGAAAAAGAACCUGAAACCGUGUACGUACAAGCAGUGGGAGCACGCUUAGGCGUGUGACUGCGUACCUUUUGUAUAAUGGGUCAGCGACUUAUAUUCUGUAGCAAGGUUAACCGAAUAGGGGAGCCGAAGGGAAACCGAGUCUUAACUGGGCGUUAAGUUGCAGGGUAUAGACCCGAAACCCGGUGAUCUAGCCAUGGGCAGGUUGAAGGUUGGGUAACACUAACUGGAGGACCGAACCGACUAAUGUUGAAAAAUUAGCGGAUGACUUGUGGCUGGGGGUGAAAGGCCAAUCAAACCGGGAGAUAGCUGGUUCUCCCCGAAAGCUAUUUAGGUAGCGCCUCGUGAAUUCAUCUCCGGGGGUAGAGCACUGUUUCGGCAAGGGGGUCAUCCCGACUUACCAACCCGAUGCAAACUGCGAAUACCGGAGAAUGUUAUCACGGGAGACACACGGCGGGUGCUAACGUCCGUCGUGAAGAGGGAAACAACCCAGACCGCCAGCUAAGGUCCCAAAGUCAUGGUUAAGUGGGAAACGAUGUGGGAAGGCCCAGACAGCCAGGAUGUUGGCUUAGAAGCAGCCAUCAUUUAAAGAAAGCGUAAUAGCUCACUGGUCGAGUCGGCCUGCGCGGAAGAUGUAACGGGGCUAAACCAUGCACCGAAGCUGCGGCAGCGACGCUGAUGCGUUGUUGGGUAGGGGAGCGUUCUGUAAGCCUGUGAAGGUGUGCUGUGAGGCAUGCUGGAGGUAUCAGAAGUGCGAAUGCUGACAUAAGUAACGAUAAAGCGGGUGAAAAGCCCGCUCGCCGGAAGACCAAGGGUUCCUGUCCAACGUUAAUCGGGGCAGGGUGAGUCGACCCCUAAGGCGAGGCCGAAAGGCGUAGUCGAUGGGAAACAGGUUAAUAUUCCUGUACUUGGUGUUACUGCGAAGGGGGGACGGAGAAGGCUAUGUUGGCCGGGCGACGGUUGUCCCGGUUUAAGCGUGUAGGCUGGUUUUCCAGGCAAAUCCGGAAAACUAAGGCUGAGGCGUGAUGACGAGGCACUACGGUGCUGAAGCAACAAAUGCCCUGCUUCCAGGAAAAGCCUCUAAGCAUCAGGUAACAUCAAAUCGUACCCCAAACCGACACAGGUGGUCAGGUAGAGAAUACCAAGGCGCUUGAGAGAACUCGGGUGAAGGAACUAGGCAAAAUGGUGCCGUAACUUCGGGAGAAGGCACGCUGAUAUGUAGGUGAAGCGACUUGCUCGUGGAGCUGAAAUCAGUCGAAGAUACCAGCUGGCUGCAACUGUUUAUUAAAAACACAGCACUGUGCAAACACGAAAGUGGACGUAUACGGUGUGACGCCUGCCCGGUGCCGGAAGGUUAAUUGAUGGGGUCAGCGCAAGCGAAGCUCUUGAUCGAAGCCCCGGUAAACGGCGGCCGUAACUAUAACGGUCCUAAGGUAGCGAAAUUCCUUGUCGGGUAAGUUCCGACCUGCACGAAUGGCGUAAUGAUGGCCAGGCUGUCUCCACCCGAGACUCAGUGAAAUUGAACUCGCUGUGAAGAUGCAGUGUACCCGCGGCAAGACGGAAAGACCCCGUGAACCUUUACUAUAGCUUGACACUGAACAUUGAGCCUUGAUGUGUAGGAUAGGUGGGAGGCUUUGAAGUGUGGACGCCAGUCUGCAUGGAGCCGACCUUGAAAUACCACCCUUUAAUGUUUGAUGUUCUAACGUUGACCCGUGAUCCGGGUUGCGGACAGUGUCUGGUGGGUAGUUUGACUGGGGCGGUCUCCUCCUAAAGAGUAACGGAGGAGCACGAAGGUUGGCUAAUCCUGGUCGGACAUCAGGAGGUUAGUGCAAUGGCAUAAGCCAGCUUGACUGCGAGCGUGACGGCGCGAGCAGGUGCGAAAGCAGGUCAUAGUGAUCCGGUGGUUCUGAAUGGAAGGGCCAUCGCUCAACGGAUAAAAGGUACUCCGGGGAUAACAGGCUGAUACCGCCCAAGAGUUCAUAUCGACGGCGGUGUUUGGCACCUCGAUGUCGGCUCAUCACAUCCUGGGGCUGAAGUAGGUCCCAAGGGUAUGGCUGUUCGCCAUUUAAAGUGGUACGCGAGCUGGGUUUAGAACGUCGUGAGACAGUUCGGUCCCUAUCUGCCGUGGGCGCUGGAGAACUGAGGGGGGCUGCUCCUAGUACGAGAGGACCGGAGUGGACGCAUCACUGGUGUUCGGGUUGUCAUGCCAAUGGCACUGCCCGGUAGCUAAAUGCGGAAGAGAUAAGUGCUGAAAGCAUCUAAGCACGAAACUUGCCCCGAGAUGAGUUCUCCCUGACUCCUUGAGAGUCCUGAAGGAACGUUGAAGACGACGACGUUGAUAGGCCGGGUGUGUAAGCGCAGCGAUGCGUUGAGCUAACCGGUACUAAUGAACCGUGAGGCUUAACCUU